RNAcentral lists this ribosomal RNA (538 nucleotides) under uncultured bacterium. RNAcentral describes it as "bacterial SSU rRNA". It matches the Rfam family "Bacterial small subunit ribosomal RNA", at positions 361 to 909 of the family's 1533-position model. The record is from RNAcentral.
AUCUUCGGCAAUGGGCGCGAGCCUGACCGAGCGACGCCGCGUGUGCGAUGAAGGCCCUUCGGUUGUAAAGUACUGUCGAGAGGAAGCAAGCCGCAAGGUUGAGCGACCUCUGGAGGAAGCACGGGCUAAGUUCGUGCCAGCAGCCGCGGUAAGACGAACCGUGCGAACGUUGUUCGGAAUCACUGGGCUUAAAGGGCGCGUAGGCGGGAUGGCAAGUCGGAGGUGAAAGCCCCCAGCUUAACUGGGGAAGUGCCCUCGAUACUGCCGUUCUCGAGAGAGGUAGGGGCGUGUGGAACUUCCGGUGGAGCGGUGAAAUGCGUAGAUAUCGGAAGGAACGCCGGUGGCGAAAGCGAUGCGCUGGACCUUUUCUGACGCUGAGGCGCGAAAGCCAGGGUAGCGAACGGGAUUAGAUACCCCGGUAGUCCUGGCCCUAAACGAUGGGUACUGGGUUGCGGGUCAGACAUGGACUCGCAGCCGAAGCAAAAGUGGUAAGUACCCCGCCUGGGGAGUAUGGUCGCAAGGCUGAAACUCAAAGGAA